Molecule: ribosomal RNA, 253 nt
Filed under: uncultured bacterium
Lineage: Bacteria
Description: partial 16S ribosomal RNA
Rfam family: Bacterial small subunit ribosomal RNA
Source: RNAcentral
UACAGAGGUCCCAAGCGUUGUUCGGAUUCACUGGGCGUAAAGGGUGCGUAGGUGGUGAUGUAAGUUUGAUGUGAAAUCUCCGGGCUUAACCCGGAAAUUGCAUUGAAUACUACAUGGCUUGAGGUUUGGAGGGGGGACUGGAAUUCUUGGUGUAGCAGUGAAAUGCGUAGAUAUCAAGAGGAACACCAGUGGCGAAGGCGAGUCCCUGGACAAAUCCUGACACUGAGGCACGAAAGCUAGGGGAUCAAACGGG